GCUCAGGACGAACGCUGGCGGCGUGCUUAACACAUGCAAGUCGAGCGGUAAGGCCUUUCGGGGUACACGAGCGGCGAACGGGUGAGUAACACGUGGGUGAUCUGCCCUGCACUUCGGGAUAAGCCUGGGAAACUGGGUCUAAUACCGGAUAUGACCUCAUAUUGCAUGAUGGGGGGUGGAAAGAUUUAUCGGUGCAGGAUGGGCCCGCGGCCUAUCAGCUUGUUGGUGGGGUAAUGGCCUACCAAGGCGACGACGGGUAGCCGACCUGAGAGGGUGACCGGCCACACUGGGACUGAGACACGGCCCAGACUCCUACGGGAGGCAGCAGUGGGGAAUAUUGCACAAUGGGCGAAAGCCUGAUGCAGCGACGCCGCGUGAGGGAUGACGGCCUUCGGGUUGUAAACCUCUUUCAGCAGGGACGAAGCGCAAGUGACGGUACCUGCAGAAGAAGCACCGGCUAACUACGUGCCAGCAGCCGCGGUAAUACGUAGGGUGCAAGCGUUGUCCGGAAUUACUGGGCGUAAAGAGUUCGUAGGCGGUUUGUCGCGUCGUUUGUGAAAACCAGCAGCUCAACUGCUGGCUUGCAGGCGAUACGGGCAGACUUGAGUACUGCAGGGGAGACUGGAAUUCCUGGUGUAGCGGUGAAAUGCGCAGAUAUCAGGAGGAACACCGGUGGCGAAGGCGG
RNAcentral lists this ribosomal RNA (685 nucleotides) under Rhodococcus sp. (in: high G+C Gram-positive bacteria). RNAcentral describes it as "bacterial SSU rRNA". It matches the Rfam family "Bacterial small subunit ribosomal RNA", at positions 22 to 724 of the family's 1533-position model. Lineage: Bacteria; Bacillati; Actinomycetota; Actinomycetes; Mycobacteriales; Nocardiaceae. The record is from RNAcentral.